UCCCCAGUGGCUCAGAUGGUAAAGCAUCUGCCUACAAUGUGGGAGACCCACGUUCAAUCCGUGGGUUGGGAA
Molecule: transfer RNA, 72 nt
Filed under: Ovis aries (sheep)
Lineage: Eukaryota; Metazoa; Chordata; Mammalia; Artiodactyla; Bovidae
Rfam family: tRNA
About the family: Transfer RNA (tRNA) molecules are approximately 80 nucleotides in length. Their secondary structure includes four short double-helical elements and three loops (D, anti-codon, and T loops).
Source: Rfam by way of RNAcentral